Molecule: ribosomal RNA, 253 nt
Filed under: uncultured microorganism
Description: partial 16S ribosomal RNA
Rfam family: Bacterial small subunit ribosomal RNA
Source: RNAcentral
UACGUAGGGUGCGAGCGUUAAUCGGAUUUACUGGGCGUAAAGCGUGCGCAGGCGGCCCGUUAAGACAGGUGUGAAAUCCCUGGGCUCAACCUAGGAAUUGCGCUUGUGACUGGCGGGCUCGAGUACGGUAGAGGGGGGUGGAAUUCCUGGUGUAGCAGUGAAAUGCGUAGAUAUGCGGAGGAACACCGAUGGCGAAGGCAAUCCCCUGGGCCUGCACUGACGCUCAUGCACGAAAGCGUGGGGAGCAAACAGG